RNAcentral lists this ribosomal RNA (253 nucleotides) under uncultured bacterium. RNAcentral describes it as "partial 16S ribosomal RNA". It matches the Rfam family "Bacterial small subunit ribosomal RNA", at positions 524 to 776 of the family's 1533-position model. The record is from RNAcentral.
UACGGAGGGUGCAAACGUUGCUCGGAAUCAUUGGGCGUGAAGCGCACGUAGGCGGUUCGGUAUGUCGGGUGUGAAAGCCCCGGGCUUAACCCGGGAAGUGCAUCCGAAACUGGCGGGCUUGAGUACGGAAGAGGGUCUCGGAAUUCCCGGUGUAGAGGUGAAAUUGGUAGAUGUCGGGAGGAACACCAGUGGCGAAGGCGGAGACCUGGGCCGAUACUGGCGCUGAGGUGCGAAAGCGUGGGGAGCAAACAGG